CGGCCGCGUCGACCAUGGCUCAGAUUGAACGCUGGCGGCAGGCCUAACACAUGCAAGUCGAGCGGAUGAAGGGAGCUUGCUCCCUGAUUUAGCGGCGGACGGGUGAGUAAUGCCUAGGAAUCUGCCUGGUAGUGGGGGACAACGUUUCGAAAGGAACGCUAAUACCGCAUACGUCCUACGGGAGAAAGUGGGGGAUCUUCGGACCUCACGCUAUCAGAUGAGCCUAGGUCGGAUUAGCUAGUUGGUGAGGUAAAGGCUCACCAAGGCGACGAUCCGUAACUGGUCUGAGAGGACGAUCAGCCACACUGGGACUGAGACACGGCCCAGACUCCUACGGGAGGCAGCAGUGGGGAAUUUUCCGCAAUGGGCGAAAGCCUGACGGAGCAAGA
RNAcentral lists this ribosomal RNA (389 nucleotides) under uncultured bacterium. RNAcentral describes it as "bacterial SSU rRNA". It matches the Rfam family "Bacterial small subunit ribosomal RNA", at positions 1 to 396 of the family's 1533-position model. The record is from RNAcentral.